UAGGAUAUUUUCAACUCAUGAU
RNAcentral lists this microRNA (22 nucleotides) under Macaca mulatta (Rhesus monkey). RNAcentral's name for it is "mml-miR-7206-3p". The record is from miRBase by way of RNAcentral. Lineage: Eukaryota; Metazoa; Chordata; Mammalia; Primates; Cercopithecidae.